GACGAACGCUGGCGGCGUGCUUAACACAUGCAAGUCGAGCGGUAAGGCCCUUUCGGGGGUACACGAGCGGCGAACGGGUGAGUAACACGUGGGUGACCUGCCCUCAGCUCUGGGAUAAGCCUGGGAAACCGGGUCUAAUACUGGAUAUGACUCCAUGACGCAUGUUGUGGGGUGGAAAGCCUUGUGCGGCUGAGGAUGGGCCCGCGGCCUAUCAGCUUGUUGGUGGGGUGANGGCCUACCAAGGCGACGACGGGUAGCCGGCCUGAGAGGGCGACCGGCCACACUGGGACUGAGACACGGCCCAGACUCCUACGGGAGGCAGCAGUGGGGAACCUUGCGCAAUGGGCGAAAGCCUGACGCAGCGACGCCGCGUGAGGGAUGACGGCCUGGUGUAAC
RNAcentral lists this ribosomal RNA (396 nucleotides) under uncultured bacterium. Its description in RNAcentral is "bacterial SSU rRNA". It matches the Rfam family "Bacterial small subunit ribosomal RNA", at positions 28 to 429 of the family's 1533-position model. The record is from RNAcentral.